CUGUUUAAUGCGGUCCGGAUCUUAAACUCACCUCUAAUGGCAUUAUGGCAUUAUCUAACCGUCGUCGUAGUUUUUAACGACGGAUAACAUAUAGCGACAGACUGAACAUAUAGCGACGGAUCAAAAUCGUCGCCCGAUCCAUCCCUAAAGGGGAUGAGCAAGGUAUGUUAGAUAAGAACUGAGCUUGAGAUCCAGACCGCUGUUUAAUG
RNAcentral lists this long non-coding RNA (209 nucleotides) under Panax ginseng (ginseng). Its description in RNAcentral is "long non-coding RNA (PGIN_LNC003537)". Lineage: Eukaryota; Viridiplantae; Streptophyta; Magnoliopsida; Apiales; Araliaceae. The record is from RNAcentral.